AGUACUUCUUUGCAGGAGGAUUCAUUAGCUCUUCACUGGAGGUGCACUGAUACCUUUUCUGUUUCCUCCAGAAGUAGCUCACCCAGCAAAUCAGUGCAUCUGCACUCCCCAAAGAGCGAACAAUUAGUUUUGGAGGUUUUCGCUGCAGCAGCUCGGCCACAGAGGAUGGAUUUAUCAGAGAAACGAGCUUCUGCACAUGAUAUAUUUCCAUCAACUUGCAGAUUUCUUAUGAACGUCGCUCAGAGUCCAAAAAAGACUCGUCCAAACCGAGUAUAUGUCUUGACCCUGUACGGUCAGUAGGGCUGGGACAAUUCACCUAUCUACCGAUUCGAUACCGUCACGAUACUUGGGUGCCGAUUCGAUAUGUAUUGUGAUUUUUAAGUAUUGCGAUUCGAUAUUAUGAUUUAUUGUGAUUUUUGUUUUUUUUUGUCUUUUUUAACACUAGACCAUGGGG
Long non-coding RNA from Sebastes umbrosus (honeycomb rockfish), 454 nucleotides. RefSeq lists it as uncharacterized. Lineage: Eukaryota; Metazoa; Chordata; Actinopteri; Perciformes; Sebastidae. The transcript has 3 exons. The record is from RefSeq and is a predicted model, not a curated record.